GUGGGGAAUAUUGGACAAUGGGGGCAACCCUGAUCCAGCCAUGCCGCGUGAAUGAUGAAGGCCUUCGGGUUGUAAAGUUCUUUUGGAGGGGACGAUGAUGACGGUACCCUCAGAAUAAGCUCCGGCUAACUUCGUGCCAGCAGCCGCGGUAAUACGAAGGGAGCUAGCGUUGUUCGGAAUUACUGGGCGUAAAGGGCGCGUAGGCGGUUUGGUUAGUCAGAUGUGAAAGCCCAGGGCUUAACCCUGGAUCUGCGUUUGAUACUGCCAAGCUUGAAUUCGGGAGAGGUGAGUGGAAUUCCCAGUGUAGAGGUGAAAUUCGUAGAUAUUGGGAAGAACACCGGUGGCGAAGGCGGCUCACUGGACCGACAUUGACGCUGAGGCGCGAAAGCGUGGGGAGCAAACAGGAUUAGAAACCCGGGUAGUCC
Molecule: ribosomal RNA, 425 nt
Filed under: uncultured bacterium
Lineage: Bacteria
Description: partial 16S ribosomal RNA
Rfam family: Bacterial small subunit ribosomal RNA
Source: RNAcentral